GCGCGGGUUGCCGAGCCAGGCCAAAGGCGUGGCGCUUAGGACGCUAUCCCGUAGGGGUCCGCCGGUUCAAAUCCGGUCCCGCGCA
RNAcentral lists this transfer RNA (85 nucleotides) under halophilic archaeon DL31. RNAcentral's name for it is "tRNA-Leu". It matches the Rfam family "tRNA". From Rfam's summary of the family: Transfer RNA (tRNA) molecules are approximately 80 nucleotides in length. The record is from RNAcentral. Lineage: Archaea; Methanobacteriati; Methanobacteriota; Halobacteria; Halobacteriales.